UGUAAGAAACGUAAUCAUGUUUGGGUAC
This 28-nucleotide small RNA is filed under the name Bombyx mori (domestic silkworm). Its description in RNAcentral is "ovarian small RNA-35321". The record is from RNAcentral. Lineage: Eukaryota; Metazoa; Arthropoda; Insecta; Lepidoptera; Bombycidae.